Molecule: long non-coding RNA, 809 nt
Filed under: Eucalyptus grandis
Lineage: Eukaryota; Viridiplantae; Streptophyta; Magnoliopsida; Myrtales; Myrtaceae
Description: long non-coding RNA (EGRA_LNC002589)
Source: RNAcentral
UCAUAUCAAACAGCCAUAGCAACUUCUUCGCAUCAGCCAAAACCAGCAUUAUGGAAGUUUAUAUGGCAAUCAAAUAGCCUACCCAAGAUCAAACAUUUUUUAUGGAAUGCUUGCCACAACGUAAUACCCACAAUGGAGAAUUUAUACAGGCGGAAAAUAGUACCUAAUCCGCUGUGCCCUCUUUGCAAACAGGAAGCCGAAACAGUCGAGCACACCCUGCUGCUAUGCUCCUGGACGACAAGGAUAUGGAAAGCCGCCCCUCUGCACAUCAAAGUGUCCCGAAUAGGGUUAACCAGGUUCGACGAAUGGCUGUACAUGGUAAAAAAAAACCAAACUAGUGCAAAAAAGUUCGACCUUAUCACGGUUACCCUCUGGAGCAUUUGGAAAGACCGCAAUCAGUUCAUAUAUGGCCAUCGCCCUCUGCACCCACAGCAAACGAUUCUUAAAGCCGAGGCUCUACACGAGAGCUUCUCCACUUGGAACAACAAAAAGAAAGGAGACCAACACAGCGAUACCAUACCUCAAAGAUGGAAGCCCCCAUCCCCUGAAUCGCUGAAAAUUAACAUCGACGCCUCAUUUCUCCCAAGCAGCGAUGACGAACCAGAAUCAAGAGGAUACAGGGGAGGAAGCGAGAACAGAGGAGCCAUAGCCUGCUUGUGUCGCGACUCCAGCGGACGGGUUGUUGAUGGAUUUGCGAAACUAGUGGCUGCGUCCACGACAGAACAUGCGGAGGCCAUCGCCCUUCUCGAAACCCUAAUUUUCCUCUCUAACCGAACUCACCUUUCUUUGGAAGUGGUAUCCGACUGUCU